Molecule: small RNA, 417 nt
Filed under: Thioalkalivibrio denitrificans
Lineage: Bacteria; Pseudomonadati; Pseudomonadota; Gammaproteobacteria; Chromatiales; Ectothiorhodospiraceae
Description: cspA thermoregulator
Rfam family: cspA thermoregulator
Source: Rfam by way of RNAcentral
CGCGGCCGCGUAUAGUGCCCACUGCAGUCAGUUCUUGCAGUCAGAGUCGGAAGUUCCCACGGUCGUUUUUCGUUGUACCGCAGUCACUCCCGCCGGUUGUUCUCAGGAAUCCGCUGCAUCAUCCGUUUGUUUCUUAAUAAGAGUUGAGGAUUUAUUUGCCAUGACCAAAGGCACCGUGAAGUGGUUUAACGAAAGCAAGGGCUUCGGCUUCAUCACCCCCGAAGACGGCGGCAAGGAUGUGUUCGUGCAUUUCUCCGCCAUCGACGCGGGCGGCUUCCGCACCCUGGCCGAAGGCCAGCAGGUCUCCUUCGAAGUGACCAACGGCCCCAAGGGCCUGGCCGCUGCGAACGUGAAGUCCCUGUAAGACAGUCUGCCAACGCAGAUUCAAAGAACCCCGCCUUGUGCGGGGUUCUUUUU